CGCGUAGGUGGUUCGAUCAGUCGGAGGUGAAAGCCCUCGGCUCAACCGAGGAUCCGCGUCCGAUACUGUCGAACUUGAGUGCAGGAGAGGAGAGCGGAAUUCCCAGUGUAGCGGUGAAAUGCGUAGAUAUUGGGAGGAACACCGGUGGCGAAGGCGGCUCUCUGGACUGCCACUGACACUGAGGCGCGAAAGCUAGGGGAGCAAACGGGAUUAGAUACCCCGGUAGUCCUAGCCGUAAACGAUGGGCACUAGGUGUGGGAAGGUAUCGACCCCUUCCGUGCCGCAGCUAACGCACUAAGUGCCCCGCCUGGGGAGUACGGCCGCAAGGUUGAA
RNAcentral lists this ribosomal RNA (333 nucleotides) under uncultured bacterium. RNAcentral describes it as "bacterial SSU rRNA". It matches the Rfam family "Bacterial small subunit ribosomal RNA", at positions 568 to 898 of the family's 1533-position model. The record is from RNAcentral.